UGACCCCAAAAGCCCUGGACUCAACAGGGAGCAGCUGUACUGGGAGCUAAGCAAGCUGACCAAUGGCAUUGAUGAGCUGGGCCCCUACACCCUGGACAGGAACAGUCUCUAUGUCAAUGGUUUCACACAACGGAGCUCUGUGCCCACCACCAGCACUGCCAGCCCUCUCCUGGUGCCGUUCACUCUCAACUUCACCAUCACCAACCUGCG
Long non-coding RNA from Rhinopithecus roxellana (golden snub-nosed monkey), 210 nucleotides. The record is from Ensembl. NCBI's taxonomy places the organism in Eukaryota, Metazoa, Chordata, Mammalia, Primates, Cercopithecidae.